UUGGUCCUACGGGGCGCAGCAGUGGGGAAUAUUGGGCAAUGGGCGCAAGCCUGACCCAGCAACGCCGCGUGAAGGAAGAAGGCUUUCGGGUUGUAAACUUCUUUUCUCAGGGACGAAGCAAGUGACGGUACCUGAGGAAUAAGCCACGGCUAACUACGUGCCAGCAGCCGCGGUAAUACGUAGGUGGCAAGCGUUAUCCGGAUUUACUGGGUGUAAAGGGCGUAGACGGUGAUGCAAGUCUGGAGUGAAAGGCGGGGGCCCAACCCCCGGACUGCUCUGGAAACUGUAUGACUUGAGUGCAGGAG
RNAcentral lists this ribosomal RNA (305 nucleotides) under uncultured bacterium. RNAcentral describes it as "bacterial SSU rRNA". It matches the Rfam family "Bacterial small subunit ribosomal RNA", at positions 333 to 654 of the family's 1533-position model. The record is from RNAcentral.